AUUGAACGCUGGCGGCAUGCUUUACACAUGCAAGUCGAACGGCAGCGCGGGCUUCGGCCUGGCGGCGAGUGGCGAACGGGUGAGUAAUGCAUCGGAACGUGCCCAGCUGUGGGGGAUAGCCCGGCGAAAGCCGGAUUAAUACCGCAUACGACCUGAGGGUGAAAGCGGGGGACCGAAAGGCCUCGCGCUAUUGGAGCGGCCGAUGUCGGAUUAGCUAGUUGGUGGGGUAAAGGCUUACCAAGGCGACGAUCCGUAGCUGGUCUGAGAGGGCGACCAGCCACACUGGGACUGAGACACGGCCCAGACUCCUACGGGAGGCAGCAGUGGGGAAUUUUGGACAAUGGGGGCAACCCUGAUCCAGCAAUGCCGCGUGAGGGAAGAAGGCCUUCGGGUUGUAAACCGCUUUUGUUCGGGAAGAAAUCCUCUGGGCUAAUACCCCGGGGGGAUGACGGUACCGGAAGAAUAAGCACCGGCUAACUACGUG
This 484-nucleotide ribosomal RNA is filed under the name uncultured bacterium. RNAcentral describes it as "partial 16S ribosomal RNA". It matches the Rfam family "Bacterial small subunit ribosomal RNA", at positions 28 to 507 of the family's 1533-position model. The record is from RNAcentral.